RNAcentral lists this long non-coding RNA (1166 nucleotides) under Brassica rapa (field mustard). RNAcentral's name for it is "long non-coding RNA (BRAP_LNC003018)". The record is from RNAcentral. Lineage: Eukaryota; Viridiplantae; Streptophyta; Magnoliopsida; Brassicales; Brassicaceae.
ACAGAAGAGGUUCGUGUCGGAAGGUUUAAAUAGACAAGGCUUGGGUCAAAUAAGGCAACGGGGUGGGGCCCGGAGAUGUAUCUGCUUAUUCCCAUCUAAACCCUGAACUGUCCCUGUUAAAUUGGGGAUUUCAAGCUGUUGGGGGUCUUUGGCCGGCGUUUCCUCCCGAAUAAUAAUCAAAAAACGUCGAUGGUUACAUAAGAGACUCAUCUCCACGUAGGACCCAUUGGGUUUGGGCGGGUUGGUUUGUUAGGUGGUUCUGUUGAAACCAGAUUGGUGUCUGCGGUAACCGUUUCCUCGCCUUUCCCUCCCACCCCCAAAUUUUGUUUGUUCUUUCUAAUAUAGUUUUUUUCUUUUUGACAGCAUAUAGGGUUUUUUUUCUUUGUAAAAUCAGAUUAUCUUUUAGAAGAUUUUACUAAAGGAGAACAGAGAAUUCAAUGUUACCUUUAAAUAGUGCAAUUUUUUAUUAAAAUCUGAUAAAAUCUUUCAAUUUAAAAAUGAAAAUUAAUUUCAUUAAAAUAUCUAAACUUCCUAAUUUUGUUUAACGUUUUCGAACAUAACCAAAAAUGUAUUCUAUUGCCAGAGCAUCAGGCGACUCGGUUCCUUUUCUUUCCUCUACUUCUCUUACUUCAUCUAAAGUAACCUAUUUGAUGAAGAUGAUCAAUCAAGUGAAGUUGAUGUUGAGGAAAGAAAGCUGUUAGAACCUGUGACUAAACUCCUCAGACUUAUCUACAGAUGCUGAUGGAAACACAGCGAAAAAUUCUCCACUGAAACUUGCAUCUUGGUAAUUGAUGGCGGCCUCCACAUUUGUAGAACCCAAUUAAGAAGUAAGAGUGCUUCUGAUAACACAUCAUAUUGAGCAGAAGAUCCAGUCCAGGUAUACCAGUUUAUAUAUAUUCCCUGUGUUGCACAUUUGAUGGAAAUACAAUAUUUCCCUCUUCAUGUACUAUACUGGGAAAGAAGUGUCAGAAGAAGCUGAUAAACCACUUGCAAGAACUGCGUCUACAGCUCAAACACAUCUGCUGGUUCACAUGAUUGGCAGUCUUUACCUUCCUAUCAUUGUUGAGAUUUAAAUGUACAAUACAAUCUUUAAAAAAAAACUAGAGGCAAAAUAAAGAAGAAAUGACACAAUAAAAUAUCAUAUAAAUACUUUUAAUCAAGUAAAA